Molecule: long non-coding RNA, 203 nt
Filed under: Hordeum vulgare
Lineage: Eukaryota; Viridiplantae; Streptophyta; Magnoliopsida; Poales; Poaceae
Description: long non-coding RNA (HVUL_LNC008310)
Source: RNAcentral
GUCAUCCUCCAUCCCUCUUCUUCCCUGCGAACAAGGACGCGCACGCUGCAGAUAACAGAAGCGGGUACACCACACGCGCCGCCGCCGCCGUCAAAACCCUAGCCACGGAGACCCCACCCAUGGCGGCCUUCACCACCACCACCACCGCCGCCGCCUCCGCCUCCGCCUCUGUCGCCCGCUCGCCGGCACCGAGCCCCUCGCAG